RNAcentral lists this ribosomal RNA (187 nucleotides) under uncultured Cytophagales bacterium. RNAcentral describes it as "partial 16S ribosomal RNA". It matches the Rfam family "Bacterial small subunit ribosomal RNA", at positions 337 to 524 of the family's 1533-position model. The record is from RNAcentral. Lineage: Bacteria; Pseudomonadati; Bacteroidota; Sphingobacteriia; Sphingobacteriales.
UCCUACGGGAGGCAGCAGUGAGGAAUAUUGGUCAAUGGGAGCAAUCCUGAACCAGCAAUGCCGCGUGUGGGAUGAAGGCGCUUCGCGUCGUAAACCACUGUCGGACGGGACGAAAGGAGCUAUGAAGCUCUAGGACGGUACCGUCAAAGGAAGGAUCGGCUAACUACGUGCCAGCAGCCGCGGUAAU